This 21-nucleotide non-coding RNA is filed under the name Caenorhabditis elegans. Lineage: Eukaryota; Metazoa; Nematoda; Chromadorea; Rhabditida; Rhabditidae. The record is from RNAcentral.
UAUGGUGUUAACGAAAUGUGG